RNAcentral lists this long non-coding RNA (493 nucleotides) under Polistes fuscatus (common paper wasp). RNAcentral describes it as "uncharacterized LOC122520299". The record is from RNAcentral. Lineage: Eukaryota; Metazoa; Arthropoda; Insecta; Hymenoptera; Vespidae.
CGCCGCUGCGGCCAGAUAAGGAGACUGGUAAACGUAGCCCGGUGGUACUCUGAAACGUGAAUACGAUCGUUGCAAUUAUCAUAGAACGCGAUUGCCAGCGAAUGAAAAGGGGAUGGAAAGUAACAAUAUUGGAAAAGGAAAGCGCAAAAGGAAGCGAAUCCUGUUUCGCAGAGACAGCCCUGAACUUUUUAACGGAUCGAUAACGGCUAGUGUCCAGUCUAGGAGGAAAAUCAAUAUGUCGUCCUGCGGCAUCGAACCGGUCCCGUUCCUCUGGUUUCUCCGAGUUCCGGCGAGCGGAUUACCGGGGCCAUCGCACCAUCGGGGAAACGCCAAACUGUCUUUCCUUUGUCGCGUUAUUCCCCUCCCCAAUCGGUUAAAUCACCCCGGAGCUUCUUACUUUUCCACAGUUAUAUUUACACACACUGACAAUGAACUUUUCUAAGUAUAUUCGCAACACCGUUUAACUUUUCUUUCAUGUCAGACUUAAUACAAA